Molecule: long non-coding RNA, 1527 nt
Organism: Lolium perenne
Lineage: Eukaryota; Viridiplantae; Streptophyta; Magnoliopsida; Poales; Poaceae
Source: RefSeq, a predicted model, not a curated record
AAAUGACCUGCCAUCCUUUGGGGAUGAAGUAGCCAUCGAACUCGGUGUCCUCAAGUGCUAUUCUGAAGUUGCCGAAGAGUGGGGGGACGACGCGAAGCGUUUCCUGCGCGACUGGCCAUGUGAGCUUCAUCUUCGUCAGGUCUUCCCAGGGUUACCGGAUCAUUGGCGAGUUGGCGGACCAUGAACGUCAUAAGGAUGGAUGACGUGUCGUGGCCAGCGAUGAGGGCGACCAUGGCGUUGUCCACGAUCUCCUCAUCGGUUAGCAGCUGAUCGCCCUGGUCGUCCGUCAGGCUGAGCAGGCAGGUGAUGAGGUCGCUGUUGGAGUUGGACGACGCCUUGCCGUUGCGGUGCUCCAGCAGCAGGCUUCCCUUCUUCUCCCGCGUGAUCCCCUCGAGCACCCGGCGAGCCCUGCGGCUAGCCUUGAGGCUCCGGCUGAACGCCGUGAACGGCAGGUUCGCUGGGAUGGCCCACAUGCCCUCGAGCAUGCGCGCGAAGUCGUCGGCGAGGGCGUCCCGAGCGGCGCCCCGCUCGAGGCCGAAGAGCAGCGCCGAGAUGAUGUCAAACGUCAGCUGCUUCAUCAGCGGCAUGAUGCAGCCCCGCCUAUCGUCGACGCUACACCAUGGCCACGGAAUCCCCCAAGUGGACCGAUAACCCGAACCUACGCGAUACAUGACAAGGUGAACUCAUCCCUUUCGACACUCGACGUCGUCAAUACAUUGGAUGGUAUACUACCUCAUGGAUAUGUGUUAUGUGUCAUUAGGUACAAACAUCGACAAGAGUUCACAAGAGGGAGUCCAUCAUGCUUAAGGAGGAAGAAGGAAAGAAGAGAGGAAGAAGAAGAAAGAAGAAGAGAAAGAAAUAAGAAGAAAGGAGAAGAAAGGGGGAGAGGAGGAGGCCGGAGCCUCCACCCAGGAGGGGGCCGGAGCCUCCAGGCCUCACUUGGCCAGUACCACGCCCAGGAGAAGGCCACCACGCGGGAGGGGCCAGGCCCGGUACUACCGGCCAGCCUUGGCCGGUACUACCGGCCAGCUCUAAGCGCCACCUCCAGCCAGAUGCUGAGCGGCACCUCUUGGCCGCGGGAAAGAAGGGGAGGCCGGUACCUCCGACCAUGGUACCGGCCAAGGUACCGCUGGGGCGCCCCGACCCCCAGUAACAUGUGAUGCAGCUCCCCGGUACCUUGGGCGGUACCUCCGGCCGUGGUACCGCCCAGAGGCCCCGUCUCCCAGUAACUCUUCGACCAGAUUUUGGUGUAUUUCGGGUACCACGGCCGGAGCCUCCGCUCGAGGUACCGCUCGGCCUAAUCCGCCUCAAAUCUGAACCGUUCAUCUUCAUCUGGACGUCCAUCCUUGAUGCCAUGUAAUACCUAAACUACCCUUGCUCGAAUCUGAACCUAUAUGUAUCCCCGUACUCCCCAUUUGUUAGGGUUAGACAAGAUUUGGCUUAGAAUAAAUUUUGAGCUUUGUCUCCCUAGGGUAUCAUCCCUCUGUAAUCAAGGCCACCCUUGUUGUUGAUUGGAUUUGUGAGUGA